UGUUAUUAGAAAUAAUUAAUAAUAAAAUCUGCUCAAUGAUUUAAUUUAAUAGCCGCACUCGUGCUAAGGUAGCAUAAUCACUUGUCUUUUAAUUAAAGACUAGAACAAAUGAUUUAACAUUUAAAUAAAUUUCUUUAUUUUAUUAUUUUAAAUUAUUUUAAAUGUAAAAAAACAUUUAUUUAAAAAUAAGACGAUAAGACCCUAUCGAACUUUACUUAAGUUUAACUGGGGCAGUUAAUUAAUUAUUAUUUUAAAAAUAAUAAAUAAACAAAAGACCUAAUAUAAUUAAUUACAUGACCAAGUUACCGUAGGGAUAACAGUGUAAUAUUAUUUUAAAGAUCUUAUUAAAAAUAAUGAUUGCAACCUCGAUGUUGACUAAUAACCUUUUUAACGCAAUAGUUUUUAAAGGAAGUCUGUUCGACUUUUAAACAAUUACA
RNAcentral lists this ribosomal RNA (437 nucleotides) under Thomisus onustus. RNAcentral describes it as "partial 16S ribosomal RNA". Lineage: Eukaryota; Metazoa; Arthropoda; Arachnida; Araneae; Thomisidae. The record is from RNAcentral.